ACGAACGCUGGCGGCGUGCCUAAUACAUGCAAGUCGAGCGGAAUGAUGAAGAAGCUUGCUUCUUCUGAUUUUAGCGGCGGACGGGUGAGUAACACGUGGGCAAUCUGCCCGUAAGACUGGGAUAACUCCGGGAAACCGGGGCUAAUACCGGAUAAUCCUGACUCUCUCCUGAGAGUCAGUUGAAAGAUGGUUUCGGCUAUCACUUACGGAUGAGCCCGCGGCGCAUUAGCUAGUUGGUAGGGUAAUGGCCUACCAAGGCGACGAUGCGUAGCCGACCUGAGAGGGUGAUCGGCCACACUGGGACUGAGGCACGGCCCAGACUCCUACGGGAGGCAGCAGUAGGGAAUCUUCCGCAAUGGACGAAAGUCUGACGGAGCAACGCCGCGUGAGUGAAGAAGGUUUUCGGAUCGUAAAACUCUGUUGUUAGGGAAGAACACGUACGAGAGUAACUGCUCGUACCUUGACGGUACCUAACCAGAAAGCCACGGCUAACUACGUG
This 499-nucleotide ribosomal RNA is filed under the name uncultured bacterium. Its description in RNAcentral is "bacterial SSU rRNA". It matches the Rfam family "Bacterial small subunit ribosomal RNA", at positions 29 to 507 of the family's 1533-position model. The record is from RNAcentral.